This 386-nucleotide long non-coding RNA is filed under the name Brassica napus (rape). RNAcentral describes it as "long non-coding RNA (BNAP_LNC022190)". The record is from RNAcentral. Lineage: Eukaryota; Viridiplantae; Streptophyta; Magnoliopsida; Brassicales; Brassicaceae.
AUUAUCUAAAGAUAUAAUAAAUAUUUCCAAAUCCAAAGAGAGAGGCACGACCUCCACUAUAAAUAUAGGUUUCUAAACGUAAAGAAAGGGGUCCACAACGUCCAUGACAAGAGCUCAUCAACUCUACAGCCGCCAAGGCAAGGUUUCGCACCUAGAAGACCUUCUUCUUCGACGGGCCUAUGAUAGGCAGAUCCCGGCGAUUACAAUCAAACAGAUGAAGAUAUAUGCUCACUGCAGCACGUCUACAACUCUCCUUACUGGCUCAGGCCACGAUCACCAGCUCAUCAGCAGGGUCCCUCCAUGCUCACUGAAGCACCUCGACACAUCAUGCUCACUGCAGCAUAUCGACAGGUCUACCAUCUGUUCCGGCCCUGUGCCCUCUAGAA